Oncorhynchus mykiss (rainbow trout) is the source of this 5850-nucleotide long non-coding RNA. The record is from Ensembl. NCBI's taxonomy places the organism in Eukaryota, Metazoa, Chordata, Actinopteri, Salmoniformes, Salmonidae.
AUGAGGAUAGAGAGAGGUGCUACUUCACUGACUGUCCCAGAACUCUCCUUGGUCCUAAAGAGCAGCCAGACACCAGAGAGAGUGUUAUCCAGGGCUCUGAGUAAUGUGGUGUCCCUUCUGAGACUCUGGAAGGUUCAGUGUCUGGACCUGACUGACCUCUGGAUCCAGGGUCACUCUCUCAUUGCACUGCUGUGUCACCAGGGACCUCUCUCUCUUAGACUAAACUCAGAAACUUUGCAGCAGCUGACUGUAGUUGUGUAUGAAGCUCAGGACAAGGAGUUGACUCAGUGGUUCCUAGAGAAGGUUGGUGGAGACCUGACCUCCUGCAGGAUGGACUGGGAAGUGCUUCUCUCUCUGCUGCAGCAUUCAACCCACAACAUCACUGUGGACCUCAGGAAGAACAGGCUUCUAGAGAAGAACAUCUCAGAUCUUCUCCCCUUUCUGGGAAGGGUUACUCUCAAGAGGUCCAGUUCCAGCUUUGUAAAGUCCACCAUCAGACAGAUCUAUGACAGAGCCAGUGAAUGUGUGUCCAGUUUGUUGAGUUCUUCAGACCAUUGGAUCAACCUGAACAGCAGAGAGCUGGACAGAGUGGACUGUACCGCUCUGUGUUUUACCCUGCAGCACAGCCACCAAGUCAAAGUCAACCUGCUGUGGACCUCCAUACCACCGGGGGAGAUAGAGAGCAUCCUGCCUCUUCUGGACAGAGUCUCCCAACUCAGUGUUGACAGGAGGUUACUGCUGAGUUUCCUCCAGUGCUGUGCUGCCUCUCAGUUCCAGCAGGGGGGACCAUCAUCACUACCAACAGCAGUAUGGCUGCUCAGGUCUCUGCACUUCAGGCUGGACUUCUCCUGCUCCUCCUCUGUGGACCUGUCAGUUCAGGACCAGGAGAAGGCUCUGUGUCUGACCACUGACCACUGCAGGGCCAUCCACUCUGUUCUGAAGCAGAACCAACACGGCACCCCGCUGGUUCAGAACCAGGUCCAGCUCAUCCUAAGAGACUGUGAGGUGGAGGACAGAGCACUGAGGGAGCUGCUUCCCAUCCUGCAUAUUGUCAAGCUGAGUCCCAGCAAAGCUCUGCUACUUCAGCUGCUGGACCUUGUGUGUGAGGGGAUUGAAGAGGGGCUGCUGAGGCACGCAGAGUCCCUAUGCAGAGCCCUGGAUGGGGAGCUGGACCUCAGUGAGACCAGGCUGGACCUGAAGGCCUGUGGAUCUCUGGCCCUGGUUCUGGAACACUCAGAGGGUCUGUCAAAACUGGACCUCAGCCACUGUCAACUCACAGACGACCAGCUACAGCCCCUGAUCACACACCUGCAUAAAGUACAAGUCCUCGAGUGAGUGGCUUUCACUGUGUGUGUGUGUGUGUGUGUGUGUGUGUGUGUGUGUGUGUGUGUGUGUGUGUGUGUGUGUGUGUGUGUGUGUGUGUGUGUGUGUGUGUGUGUGUGUGUGUGUGUGUGUGUGUGUGUGUGGACGUGUUUAACUAUACUUUUGGGGACCAACUGGGAACAUUUUGUUGGUCCCCACAAGGUCAAAUGCUAUUUCUAGGGGGUUUAGGAUUAAGGUUAGAAUUAGUAUUAGGGUUAAAAUUAGGUAGAGGAUUUGGAUCUAUGGUUAGGUUUAGGAUCUAGGGUUAGGUUUAGGUUUUUAAUUAAGGUACGGGUUAGGGUCUGAAUUGUAUGUACCCACAAGGUUAUUUGUACAAGACUGUGUGUCUAUCACUACAUGAUAAAUGUCCAAUCUCUCUCUCCCUGGCUCUCCCUCUCUCUGUGUGUCUCUCUCUCGCUCUCUUGCUCUGUCCCUCUUUCUCUCUUUCUCUCUUUCUCUCUUUCUCUCUCUCUCUCUCUCUCUCUCUCUCUCUCUCUCUCUCUCUCUCUCUCUCUCUCUCUCUCUCUCUCUCUCUCUCUGUGUGUGUCUAUCACUACAUGAUAAAUGUCCGCUCUCUCUCUCUCUCUCUCUCUCUCUCUCUCUCUCUCUCUCUCUCUCUCUCUCUCUCUCUCUCUCUGUGUGUUGUAGCCUGAGCCACAAUGACAUCACUGAUGCUCUGACUGACAGAAUACUCCAACUGGUCUCUACCAACACUUCAAUACACACCAUACGGUAAGGGUGUGUGUGUGACAGUGAGCAGAGCAUGUCUGUGUGAGAUCAUAUGGGUGUGUAUGUUGCUGGGGGCAACUAUUAGAGGAUAAUAAUAACAUUAAAAUAAUAAUGUUUUUUUUUGUCUCUACAGACUCUUCAACAACAGAAUCAGGAACAGAACCGCUUUCCUGACAGACGAGAGGUUUGAGAUCUGAUUAAACAUCAGGUCUUCGCCCAGGAAGAGGAAGAGAUGGCUGUUAGGUCUUGGUCCAGGAAGAGGAAGAGAUGGCUGUUAGGUCUUGGUCCAGGAAGAGGAACAGAUGGCUGUCAGGUCUUGGUCCAGGAAGAGGAAGAGAUGGCUAUUAGGUAUUGGUCCAGGAAGAGGAAGAGAUGGCUGUUAGGUCUUAGUCCAAAUCAAAAUAAAAUGUUAUUGGUCACAUACACAUGGUUACCAGAUGUUAUUGGUCACAUACACAUGGUUAGCAGAUGUUAUUGGUCACAUACACAUGGUUAGCAGAUGUUAUUGGUCUCACAUACACAUGGUUAGCAGAUGUUAUUGUGAGUGUAGCGAAAUGCUUAUGCUUCUAGAUCUGACAGUGCAUCAGUAUCUAACAGGUAAUAUCUAACACAUUCCACAACAAAACCUAAUAUCUAACAAAUUCCACCACAAAACCUAAUACACACAGUCUUAUAAACGAAUGGGAUAAGAAUAUAUAAGUAAGUAUACAAUAUAUGGAUGAGCAGUGACAGAGCGGCUAAGAUGCAAUAGAUAGUAAAGAAUAUAUAGUAAUAUAUUAUUUUAAAUAGAUAGUGAAAGAUACAGUAUAUACAUAUUAGAUGAGUAAUGUGAAAUAUGUAAACAUUCUUAAAGUGGCAUUAUUAAAGUGACUUCUGUUCCAUUUAUUAAAGAGGCCAAUGAUAUCAAGUCUGUAGGUAGGCAGCAGCCUCUCUGUGCUAGUGGUGGCUGUUUAACAAUCUGAUGGCCCUGAGACAGGAGCUGUUUUUCAAUUUCUCUGUCCCAGCUUUGAUGCACCUGUACUGACCUCGCGUUCUUGAUGAUAGCAGGGUGAACAGGCAGUGGCUCGGGUGGGUAUUGUCCUUGAUGAUCCCUUUUGCCUUCUUGUGACAUCGGGUGGUGUAGGUGUCCUGGAGGGCAGGAAGUUGCCCCCGGUGAUGCGUUGUGCAGACCGCACCACCCUCUGGAGAGCCCUGCGGUUGCAGGCGGUGCAGUUGCUGUACCAGACGGUGAUACAGCCUGACAGGAUGCUCUCAAUUGUGCACCUGUAAAAGUUAGUGAGGGUUUUCGGUGACAAGACCAUUUUUCUCAGCCUCCUGAGGUUGAAACAUACAGUGGGAGAUAUUAAAAAGUGAUUCAAGUAAUGCAGUAAAAUGGUUCAGAAUGUUUUAAUGUUGGUUGCUUUAAGGUACGAUGCUUGUAGACUGUGUUGGUUAGGUUUAACUUGUUGGUACUACCCAUCCUGGGUCCGGGAGCAUUGUCAUCAAUUGACACGAAUUAGCAUAAUGCAACGGACAUAAAUAUUACUAGAAAACGUUGGUUAUAAUCCUCAAGGUGUUUUUCAAAUAUCUAUUUGAUAAUAUAUCAACCGGGACUGGUGGCUUCUUAGUAGGAAAGAGAGAAACAAUGGCCGCAUUUGUCCUUUACGCACAAAACACUCUGCGAGACUUCAGCUGACGAAUGAUGCAAUGUUGACGUUCAGGCUCAUUUUUCUAAAUAAAAGCCUGAAACAAUUAGGGAAGCCAUAGAAAAAGGAAUCUGGUUGAUACCUCAUUCACUGCUCAAUAGAACGCAGAGCUUCUAAAUAAGAGUCCCUGCCGGAUUGGAUUUUUCUCCGGCUUUCGCCUGCAAUAUCAGUUCUGUUAUACUCACAGACAAUAUUUUUACAGUUUUGGAAACUUUAGAGUGUUUUCUAUCCUAAGCUGCCAAUUAUAUGCAUAUUCUAGCAUCUUGUCCUGACAAAAUAGCCCGUUUACUUCGGGAACGUUAUUUUUCCAAAAAUUAAAAUAGUGCCCCCUAGUUACAAGAGGUUAAAGGACAAGGCCUUAGGGUCUGUAGGAUGUUGGUAAUGACAUGUUAUAAUGAUGAAAUGGUCUAAUGUUAAAAUGUUAAAAAAUGUUGAAUGUUUAGGAAGUAAUGGGAAGAAAAGGUUAGAGUGGGAUUAUAAUUGAGUAGGGAAUGUUAAUGUUUAGAAAUAAAUGUUUUAAAAGUUAAUGGAGUGUACUCCAUAUUGAUAAUGGAGUGUACUAAGGGUGCUGGCUUGCUUUGGGAAUCCCCCGGUCAGAGCAGCCAGGAGGAGGCAUCCUGUCAAGACGUCCUGCCUAUGUGAGGAAAGAUGGGGGUUAGUGGGUGCUGAAAGAGCACCUUUUGAGUGAUGGCCGCAUUAGGUGUUAACCACUGAGCGUAUCUUUCGAGGAUGUUAGCCACAAUGAGUUAACAGAAAGGAAGAUGGAGGGUAUAAAGGAGGCAUGAUUUUGGAGAAGGGUACAACUCUCUAUUAGCUAGAAGAACCUGCUGGAAGAAGAUUCUUGCUGUAUUAUUAUACUCAUAUCUUAUUUAUUUAUAUUAUAUUUUUAUUAAUUAUUAUUUUAUUAUUUUUGUAUUAUUUAUAUUUACUACUGGGGGAUAUAGGCUGGUCUACUGGGGGAUAUAGGCUAGUCUACUGGAGGAUAUAGGCUGGUCUACUAGGGGAUAGAAGGGGAUAUAGGCUGGUCUACUGGGGGAUAUAGGCUAGUCUACUGGAGGAUAUAGGCUGGUCUACAAGAGGAUAUAGGGGGAUAUAGGCUGGUCUACUGGGGGAUAUAGGCUAGUCUACUGGAGGAUAUAGGCUGGUCUACAAGGGGAUAUAGGGGGAUAUAGGCUGGUCUACAAGGGGAUAAAGGAGAAUAUAGGCUGGUCUACUUAAGUUUACCUCAUUGAUAGAAGUGUGUUAAAGUAGCUGGUAGAGUUUUUAGACGCCAACUGAGGGACUGAGGGGGGAGACAAUAAACAGUGUAUUAUUAUUAUUAGUCCAAAUAACAGGAACAGGACCACAACAGUAGCCACCAAAACAACAGGAACGCAGUCCAGAAAAAACACCUGUUCCACAGAACAAAUCAAAACGCAACCCAAACAAAUGACAGCUACACAAACAAUCCCGCACGAAACCAAGAGGCUAGGGCGAGAUUAAAUACCCCACUAAUAACCUAAACUAGACACAGGUGAACAACAAAACUAAACGAAAAAGAAAAGGGAUCGGUGGCAGCUGGUAGCUAGUAGACCCGGCGACGACGACCGCCGAGCACCGCCUGUACAGGGAGAGGAUCCACCUUCGGUGGAAGUCGUGACAGGUAUAGAUAAAAUCAAAUUGUAUUGGUCACAUACACAUAUUUAGCAGAUGUUAUUGCAGGUGUAGCGAAAUGCAUGACGGAGUCGUAAGAGGGGGGAUUCUGGGCUAAACCAACCCUGGGCUAAACCAACCGAGCACCCCGUCAUAGUGAUCUACAGCAGAAACUCUGUCCUGGAUGAUCCUGAAGAAGUGCAGGGUUUAUAGAGUGAGGGCUAGGCAGCGUAGGCAUUAGGCUCUGAGGAUAGCCCACUUUACUGUAAGGCCCUUACUGUUGAUUCUGAGGCACAGUCCCUAGCUAUAGACUAGCUCAGUGGUAAUGUCAGAGUGGCAGAUCUGUAGAGGUUAAAUGUGUUGUCAUUUCCUAUCGAGAACUAAAUCUACCAGACUGCAAAUGUUUUGGCAAUUCCUAUAGAAAAAGAAAUCUACUAGACUG